Molecule: non-coding RNA, 25 nt
Filed under: Cricetulus griseus (Chinese hamster)
Lineage: Eukaryota; Metazoa; Chordata; Mammalia; Rodentia; Cricetidae
Source: RNAcentral
AGGCAAGUACUGUAUGAAUCUAACU